GCGUCAUUAGCUCAAGGGUUAGAGUGCUGGUCUAAUAAACCAGGGGUGAAGAGUUCAAAUCUCUGAUGAGGCU
Paramuricea clavata is the source of this 73-nucleotide non-coding RNA. The record is from the annotation of a GenBank genome assembly. NCBI's taxonomy places the organism in Eukaryota, Metazoa, Cnidaria, Anthozoa, Malacalcyonacea, Plexauridae.